AGAGAUCAAAUUUAUAGGUGAAACUAAAAGAGAAGUAUAGAUCUCAAGGACAUCUACAUGUUUAUGUGAGAUUUGUGUGUUGGGGAUGACUGGUUUGUCACGAAUUUGAGAAAGAAAAAAAAAUUGGGCGGCUAGAGUUUCAGUCAAGGCCGAAUCGGUAGAGAUUGAUGGAGAUUCUAAAGAUUUGAGACGUGGAUUGAGGUACAUAUUUUUACCCUUACUUGACUCCACCUGGCAGGUUUUGGCAAGAGUAAUCGAAUCAUAAUUAUGUGAAUUAAUGGGUCAAAUCAAUGAG
RNAcentral lists this long non-coding RNA (295 nucleotides) under Nicotiana benthamiana. RNAcentral describes it as "long non-coding RNA (NBEN_LNC020575)". Lineage: Eukaryota; Viridiplantae; Streptophyta; Magnoliopsida; Solanales; Solanaceae. The record is from RNAcentral.